GACGAACGCUGGCGGCGCGCCUAACACAUGCAAGUCGAGCGAGAAGCGGGACUUCGGUCCCGUGGAGAGCGGCGAACGGGUGCGUAACACGUGAGCAACCUGCCCCGAAGACCGGGACAACCGAGGGAAACUUCGGCUAAUACCGGAUGCCCUCACCGGAUCGCAUGGUCUGGUGAGGAAAUGGAUUCCGCUUCGGGAUGGGCUCGCGGUCUAUCAGCUUGUUGGUGGGGUAACGGCCCACCAAGGCGACGACGGAUAGCUGGUCUGAGAGGACGAUCAGCCACACUGGGACUGAGACACGGCCCAGACUCCUACGGGAGGCUG
Molecule: ribosomal RNA, 324 nt
Filed under: uncultured Actinomycetes bacterium
Lineage: Bacteria; Bacillati; Actinomycetota; Actinomycetes
Description: bacterial SSU rRNA
Rfam family: Bacterial small subunit ribosomal RNA
Source: RNAcentral